Long non-coding RNA from Eurytemora carolleeae, 271 nucleotides. RefSeq lists it as uncharacterized. The transcript has 3 exons. The record is from RefSeq and is a predicted model, not a curated record. NCBI's taxonomy places the organism in Eukaryota, Metazoa, Arthropoda, Copepoda, Calanoida, Temoridae.
ACUUUAAUUGAAAUUGAUAGUUAUAAAGUAUAAAUUUGAUGAUAUAAUCUGGUUGUGUAGGGAGGGUGCUCAUCAGUUCCCAAGAGAAAGACUUGCAAUGUUGGGAGAGUUGAAGUUUAAAUAUGUUGAGGAGGAAGAGCCAGAGGAAUUCUUUAUUCCAUAUGUCUGGGGGCUUACUUCGAAAUUCAUGUUUUGGAACGAGAAGCUGAUGAAACUCUGAUCUUCCUGAAAGAACUUUGUGAUAUUUUUAAAAUUUAUUUAAAUUCAAUAU